GGGAACUGUAAAGUCACCAAUCAAGACACAAUGGUUUGAUUGCGUGGUGUUUGUGACAGUGAUACCUGCAGCUGAUGUGAGUAAAACAGUGUCUAUGAUACAGGGGCUUUUAAUACCCAUCUAUAACUACAACAACAUCCUCCUGAAAACAAACCCAGCGUCCAUAAACAUCCUCUCAGUCGCUGUCUUUCCCAACGUGACUUCAAAUCCUGCUUUGACCACUGUUCCACCAGUCUCAAGUACAAAUAUUACAAUAUCAGGAACUCGCACAACAUCACAAACACUUGCAAUGGAAAAUAGCUGUUUGAUCACUUCAGGCUUAAUUUCAAACAGAGAAUUUGGAGACAUUUUCUAUAGGGUCUAUCUCAAUCUAACAAUGAGUGGCAGCCACACAGACCCUCAACACACUAUACAGCAAUGG
This is a long non-coding RNA of Carassius gibelio (silver crucian carp), 421 nucleotides long. RefSeq lists it as uncharacterized. NCBI's taxonomy places the organism in Eukaryota, Metazoa, Chordata, Actinopteri, Cypriniformes, Cyprinidae. The transcript has 5 exons. The record is from RefSeq and is a predicted model, not a curated record.